AGCACACUCGCUGACUGAGGGAUG
RNAcentral lists this microRNA (24 nucleotides) under Equus caballus (horse). RNAcentral's name for it is "eca-miR-9168". Lineage: Eukaryota; Metazoa; Chordata; Mammalia; Perissodactyla; Equidae. The record is from miRBase by way of RNAcentral.